CCUGGCUCAGAUUGAACGCUGGCGGCAGGCUUAACACAUGCAAGUCGAGCGGGGGAGGUUGCUUCGGUANCUGACCUAGCGGCGGACGGGUGAGUAAUACUUAGGAAUCUGCCUAUUAAUGGGGGUCAACAUCUCGAAAGGGAUGCUAAUACCGCAUACGCCCUACGGGGGAAAGCAGGGGAUCACUUGUGACCUUGCGUUAAUAGAUGAGCCUAAGUCGGAUUAGCUAGUUGGUGGGGUAAAGGCCUACCAAGGCGACGAUCUGUAGCGGGUCUGAGAGGAUGAUCCGCCACACUGGGACUGAGACACGGCCCAGACUCCUACGGGAGGCAGCAGUGGGGAAUAUUGGACAAUGGGGGGAACCCUGAUCCAGCCAUGCCGCGUGUGUGAAGAAGGCCUUAUGGUUGUAAAGCACUUUAAGCGAGGAGGAGGCUCUUCUAGUUAAUACCUAGGAUGAGUAAAGUUACCGCUGG
RNAcentral lists this ribosomal RNA (473 nucleotides) under bacterium M-3. RNAcentral describes it as "SSU rRNA". It matches the Rfam family "Bacterial small subunit ribosomal RNA", at positions 18 to 485 of the family's 1533-position model. The record is from RNAcentral.